This 1030-nucleotide long non-coding RNA is filed under the name Pan paniscus (pygmy chimpanzee). RNAcentral's name for it is "lncRNA (ENSPPAG00000045392.1)". The record is from RNAcentral. Lineage: Eukaryota; Metazoa; Chordata; Mammalia; Primates; Hominidae.
GGUGCGUUUGCCGUGCUGUGAGUCCGGGGCGCUCAUCCCUGCAUGUGGAGGCUUCUGGGACCCUGCCUGGGAUGACUUUUUUUUUCUUAAAUUUUUACAGAAACGAGUAUCUUAUAUUUCAGAAGAUCAUUAAGUUGGAAUAUGACUUUCCAGAAAAAUUCUUCCCUAAGGCAAGAGACCUCGUGGAGAAACUUUUGGUUUUAGAUGCCACAAAGCGGUUAGGCUGUGAGGAAAUGGAAGGGUACGGACCUCUUAAAGCACACCCGUUCUUCGAGUCCGUCACGUGGGAGAACCUGCACCAGCAGACGCCUCCGAAGCUCACCGCUUACCUGCCGGCUAUGUCGGAAGACGACGAGGACUGCUAUGGCAAUGAUCCCAGAGGAACCCACAUAUGGGACAUGGCAGCUCAGGACAACACCCAGCCACCUACGUGGGACAGGGCCACGCAGGAUAGAGACAAGGAGACGAGGGCCUCAGAGACACAGGCUUCCCGGCCCCGCAUGGGUCCCGCACAGCCCCCUUCUCCAGCACCGAGGACGGGCAGACUGAGAUAAUACGAAGCCUCGACUCGAGCGGCUCCACGACAGAACACAAGCGGCUGCCCAGAGAGAGUACAUGUGAAAGACAUUCCCUGCCAAAGAGACAGGAGUGGGCAUCAUGGCUCACAGCCUCAGAGCAGGGCCAGGGCUGGGCCACAGCCCCCGUCACUCCACACCCCGCGUGAACUCGGAGGAGGCAGGCAGAUGCCGAGGCCCACAGGCCCAGAACAGAAACGGAGUCAGACGUUGCCCAGUGCAGACCGAUGCGCAGACACGGACCUGGGGGAGCAGGGCCACACCCGCACGCAGGUACCCAGAAACCCUCAGCCUUCACGGCGAGGCCUCGGGCUGUUCUGAGCCAAGCCAGCACCGCAGCACACAGGCAGGCCAGCCUGGGCCCAACGCGUGUGGGCGCCGUCCCUGCACCACGACCACUCAGAAUGGAACACGGCAGCUGGCAGCAGCAGGCACAGUCCAGGUGAUGGCACAGA